ACCACAUCAAGAAAUACCAAUGGGUACAAUGCUCAUAUUGCAAAAACUGGCUGCAUUUCGAGUGUGCUGGUGUAAAAGGAGACUGGACGUCCAAGGACUUCUUUUGUGGAUGCAACAACAUCCCAGAUAUAAACGACAUCCUGGAGGCUGUUAAAGUAGAAGACUUUCAGACAGACGAAGAAAUUUUGGAUCUGGAGAAAAACCUGCUGAGUGGGCAUGUUCUGUCCAACAGAAUGUAUCUGUGGAAACACAGAGGAUUUGAUCCUGCCCUUAAAAAGCAUUACAGCGAACAUGUCACUUUAUUCAGUGACAUAAAG
Dicentrarchus labrax (European seabass) is the source of this 317-nucleotide long non-coding RNA. RefSeq lists it as uncharacterized. The record is from RefSeq and is a predicted model, not a curated record. The transcript has 3 exons. NCBI's taxonomy places the organism in Eukaryota, Metazoa, Chordata, Actinopteri, Moronidae.